RNAcentral lists this ribosomal RNA (117 nucleotides) under Lepisosteus oculatus (spotted gar). The record is from RNAcentral. Lineage: Eukaryota; Metazoa; Chordata; Actinopteri; Semionotiformes; Lepisosteidae.
GCCAGCAGUCAUGUUACCCUGCAGCUCUCAACUGGCUACCCACUGAAACUAAGCAGAGUUGAGCCUGGCCAGUACCUGGGUGGGUGACCUCCUGAGACGCUAUGGUUGCUGCUGGAA